GAUGAACGCUGGCGGCGUGCCUAAUACAUGCAAGUCGAGCGAACAGACGAGGCGCUUGCUCCUCUGACGUUAGCGGCGGACGGGUGAGUCACACGUGGAUAACCUACCUAUAAGACUGGGAUAACUUCGGGAAACCGGAGCUAAUACAGGAUAAUAUAUUGAACCGCAUGGUUCAAUAGUGAAAGACGGUUUUGCUGUCACUUAUAGAUGGAUCCGCGCCGCAUUAGCUAGUUGGUAAGGUAACGGCUUACCAAGGCGACGAUGCGUAGCCGAUCUGAGAGGGUGAUCGGCCACACUGGAACUGGGACACGGUCCAGACUCCUACGGGAGGCAGCAGUAGGGAAUCUUCCGCAAUGGGCGAAAGCCUGACGGAGCAACGCCGCGUGAGUGAUGAAGGUCUUCGGAUCGUAAAACUCUGUUAUUAGGGAAGAACAAAUGUGUAAGUAACUAUGCACGUCUUGACGGUACCUAAUCAGAAAGCCACGGCUAACUACGUG
This 497-nucleotide ribosomal RNA is filed under the name uncultured bacterium. RNAcentral describes it as "partial 16S ribosomal RNA". It matches the Rfam family "Bacterial small subunit ribosomal RNA", at positions 28 to 507 of the family's 1533-position model. The record is from RNAcentral.